Molecule: ribosomal RNA, 253 nt
Filed under: uncultured bacterium
Lineage: Bacteria
Description: partial 16S ribosomal RNA
Rfam family: Bacterial small subunit ribosomal RNA
Source: RNAcentral
UACGUAUGUCCCAAGCGUUAUCCGGAUUUAUUGGGCGUAAAGCGAGCGCAGGCGGUUUUUUAAGUCUGAUGUGAAAGCCUAAGGCUCAACCGUAGAAUUGCAUCGGAAACUGGAUGACUUGAGUGCAGUAGAGGUAAGUGGAACUCCAUGUGUAGCGGUGGAAUGCGUAGAUAUAUGGAAGAACACCAGUGGCGAAGGCGGCUUACUGGACUGUAACUGACGUUGAGGCUCGAAAGUGUGGGUAGCAAACAGG